Long non-coding RNA from Acipenser ruthenus (sterlet), 341 nucleotides. RefSeq lists it as uncharacterized. The record is from RefSeq and is a predicted model, not a curated record. The transcript is spliced from 3 exons. Lineage: Eukaryota; Metazoa; Chordata; Actinopteri; Acipenseriformes; Acipenseridae.
UUCGAUAUGAAUGCACAAACCUUCAGCUAUAUAAAAGGCAGAAGCUGAAAGCUCAAAGCAAGACAUCAGAGAAGACAAGAUGAGAGCUGCUUUGAUUCAGGACAAGACCUAGUAAAGUACCUGCUUGCUCAAGGGUACAGCAGCAAUCCCACUGGGACUGAAGCCACACAAGACCUCCGGUCAAGAGUCCAAAGUCCUUAACAACUACUUCACACUGCUACCGUUAACCAUGGAGCAAUAUAGAAUGACUUCACAAAUAGAACAAGCUGUGGCUUCAAUUCGCAGAUCGAUGUGUGCUGGCAUUGGGAUCAGCAAUAACAGCAAAUUCAUACUAAAAUCAC